UACGAAGGUCCCAAGCGUUAUCCGGAUUUAUUGGGUUUAAAGGGUGCGUAGGCGGACUAUUAAGUCAGUGGUGAAAGCCCCAAGCUUAACUUGGGAACUGCCAUUGAUACUGAUGGUCUUGAGUACAUUUGAGGUGGGCGGAAUGUGUCAUGUAGCGGUGAAAUGCUUAGAUAUGACACAGAACACCGAUUGCGAAGGCAGCUCACUAAACUGUAACUGACGCUGAGGCACGAAAGCGUGGGGAGCAAACCGG
This 253-nucleotide ribosomal RNA is filed under the name uncultured bacterium. RNAcentral's name for it is "partial 16S ribosomal RNA". It matches the Rfam family "Bacterial small subunit ribosomal RNA", at positions 524 to 776 of the family's 1533-position model. The record is from RNAcentral.